CAGCAGUCGAGAAUCUUCGGCAAUGGGCGCAAGCCUGACCGAGCGACGCCGCGUGGAGGACGAAGGCCUUCGGGUUGUAAACUCCUGUCGAGGGGGAGGAAGGUCGGGCAACCGGCUUGACCGAUCCCUGGAGGAAGCACGGGCUAAGUUCGUGCCAGCAGCCGCGGUAAGACGAACCGUGCGAACGUUAUUCGGAAUCACUGGGCUUAAAGCGCGUGUAGGCGGAUGGGGACGUCGGUUGUUGAAAGCCCCCGGCUCAACCGGGGAAUGGGCACCGAAACGCCCCGUCUCGAGGGACGUAGGGGGACCUGGAACUUCCGGUGGAGCGGUGAAAUGCGUUGAGAUCGGAAGGAACGCCCGUGGCGAAAGCGAGGUCCUGGACGUCUACUGACGCUGAGACGCGAAAGCUAGGGUAGCGAACGGGAUUAGA
Molecule: ribosomal RNA, 430 nt
Filed under: uncultured Aquisphaera sp.
Lineage: Bacteria; Pseudomonadati; Planctomycetota; Planctomycetia; Isosphaerales; Isosphaeraceae
Description: bacterial SSU rRNA
Rfam family: Bacterial small subunit ribosomal RNA
Source: RNAcentral